AGCCUUCACGGGCGGCGGAUGACUACGUCUACCUCACACCUUAAAGUAUGUUAACGAAUGUAAUCAUGGUCUUGACAGACCCUAAAAAGUUAAUACAACUUUCGACAACGGAUCUCUUGGCUCUCGCAUCGAUGAAGAACGCUCUCUAAAUGCGAUAAGUAAUGUGAAUUGCAGAAUUCAGUGAAUCAUCGAAUCUUUGAACGCACCUUGCGCCCUUUGGUAUUCCGAGGGGCAUGCCUGUUUGAGUGUCAUUAAAUACCAUCAACCCUCUUUUGACUUCGGUCUCGAGAGUGGCUUGGAAGUGGAGGUCUGCUGGAGCCUAACGGAGCCAGCUCCUCUUAAAUGUAUUAGCGGAUUUCCCUUGCGGGAUCGCGUCUCCGAUGUGAUAAUUUCUACGUCGUUGACCAUCUCGGGGCUGACCUAGUCAGUUUCAAUAGGAGUCUGCUUCCAACCGUCUCUUGACCGAGACUAGCGACUUGUGCGCUAACUUUUGACUUGACCUCAAAUCAGGUAGGACUACCCGCUGAACUUAAGCAUAUCA
RNAcentral lists this ribosomal RNA (541 nucleotides) under Schizophyllum commune. Its description in RNAcentral is "eukaryotic LSU rRNA". The stretch from base 97 to 251 matches the Rfam family "5.8S ribosomal RNA". The record is from RNAcentral. Lineage: Eukaryota; Fungi; Basidiomycota; Agaricomycetes; Agaricales; Schizophyllaceae.